AAUAGAUACCCCGGUAGUCCACGCCGUAAACGAUGAGUGCUAAGUGUUAGAGGGUUUCCGCCCUUUAGUGCUGCAGCUAACGCAUUAAGCACUCCGCCUGGGGAGUACGGUCGCAAGACUGAAACUCAAGGGAAUUGACGGGGGCCCGCACAAGCGGUGGAGCAUGUGGUUUAAUUCGAAGCAACGCGAAGAACCUUACCAGGUCUUGACAUCCUCUGACAACUCUAGAGAUAGAGCGUUCCCCUUCGGGGGACAGAGUGACAGGUGGUGCAUGGUUGUCGUCAGUUCGUGUCGUGAGAUGUUGGGUUAAGUCCCGCAACGAGCGCAACCCUUGAUCUUAGUUGCCAGCAUUUAGUUGGGCACUCUAAGGUGACUGCCGGUGACAAACCGGAGGAAGGUGGGGAUGACGUCAAAUCAUCAUGCCCCUUAUGACCUGGGCUACACACGUGCUACAAUGGAUGGUACAAAGGGCUGCAAGACCGCGAGGUCAAGCCAAUCCCAUAAAACCCGAUUCUCAGUUCGGA
This 524-nucleotide ribosomal RNA is filed under the name uncultured bacterium. Its description in RNAcentral is "bacterial SSU rRNA". It matches the Rfam family "Bacterial small subunit ribosomal RNA", at positions 777 to 1297 of the family's 1533-position model. The record is from RNAcentral.